GUGCUCGCUUCAGCAGCGCACUAAAAUUGGAACGAUACAGAGAAGAUUAGCAUGACCCCUGCGCAAAGAUGAUAUGCAAAUUCGUGAAGUGUUCCAUAUUUUU
Suncus etruscus (white-toothed pygmy shrew) is the source of this 103-nucleotide small nuclear RNA. The record is from RefSeq and is a predicted model, not a curated record. NCBI's taxonomy places the organism in Eukaryota, Metazoa, Chordata, Mammalia, Eulipotyphla, Soricidae.